Molecule: non-coding RNA, 45 nt
Filed under: Schistosoma mansoni
Lineage: Eukaryota; Metazoa; Platyhelminthes; Trematoda; Strigeidida; Schistosomatidae
Source: RNAcentral
AUCCAGCUGACCAGUCCCAUAUAGGACGAAAUGCGCGUCCUGGAU